CCUACGGGUGGCAGCAGUGAGGAAUAUUGGUCAAUGGGCGGAAGCCUGAACCAGCCAAGUCGCGUGAAGGUUUAAGGCCCUAUGGGUCGUAAACCUCUUUUGUCAGGGAGCAAGGUCGUCCACGUUUGGGCGUCUGGAGAAUACCUGAAGAAAAAGCAUCGGCUAACUCCGUGCCAGCAGCCGCGGUAAUACGGAGGAUGCGAGCGUUAUCCGGAUUUAUUGGGUUUAAGGGGUGCGUAGGGGGAUUGAUAAGUUAGAGGUGAAAUGUCCGAGCUUAACUCGGGAAGUGCCUCUAAUACUGGUGAUCUAGAGAGUAGAUGCGGUAGGCGGAAUGUAUGGUGUAGCGGUGAAAUGCUUAGAGAUCAUACAGAACACCGAUUGCGAAGGCAGCUUACAAAUCUAUAUCUGACGUUGAGGCACGAAAGCGUGGGGAGCAAACAGGAUUAGAUACCCUUGUAGUC
RNAcentral lists this ribosomal RNA (461 nucleotides) under uncultured bacterium. RNAcentral describes it as "partial 16S ribosomal RNA". It matches the Rfam family "Bacterial small subunit ribosomal RNA", at positions 338 to 795 of the family's 1533-position model. The record is from RNAcentral.